Pteronotus mesoamericanus is the source of this 808-nucleotide long non-coding RNA. RefSeq lists it as uncharacterized. NCBI's taxonomy places the organism in Eukaryota, Metazoa, Chordata, Mammalia, Chiroptera, Mormoopidae. The record is from RefSeq and is a predicted model, not a curated record. The transcript is spliced from 3 exons.
ACUUAAGGGGGUGGUGCGACUGAAGCUUUCAGCGAGGCGAGCCGCUGCGGACAACUCACCCUCUCUGCCCACGGGCGGCGACAAGGAAGGCCGGCGGGGAGCCCGACGCUGGGCCUUUAGGGAAGAGGGACUCCGAGCCUCCAUCGCCAAAAAGUGGAGGCACCGGCUCUGCGCUGAUCCCCCAUGGCUCAUUGGUUACUGCACGCUUUCCGCCCUCCCUGGACUGCUCCCGCCCCUGGUGGAGGGCUAAGGGCAGAAGAGACGGGCUUAUUUCACUUAGCGUAAUAUUUUCCAGGACCAUCCAUGUUGUCACAAAAGAUAACAUCCAGGCCCGGAAAAGCAGCAAAACCGGGUGGGUAACCAGAACCAAUUGCAAUGACUAAAGACUUCCUGCCCUGUCACCAAUCAGUGAAGACCACAACCCAGAAAGGGCACACCUGGUGAACCUAUGAAUAUUCUACUGAAGCCCUUCCCUGAGAAAUUCCCUAAGAUUCCCACCUGCAAGAAAGAGGUAAAAGCCUCAAAACGAAGGACCCAGUGCUUGCGCUUUCCCUCUGGGGAGCAGCUCACCCCAUUCCCUUUCCCUUCUCCUUCCCCAACUUCCUUCCCCACAGACACUUGUCUCCUAAACUCAGGCAAUGAGCAGCGGGCAGCUUGUCCCAAGCUAAUCCUCUGAACCUGUCCCCAAAACCUCCUUUCCUAUGACUUCCCAGUGCGCUAAGGCAGCCCAGCCAGGGCCUCCUGUUGCUUCUUCUGUGCUAAGCCCUUCCUUGUUUCACUGCCACAGCUUUAAUAAAUGUAUCCUCAU